GCCGUGUAGAACAGGCCCCUGCUGCCCAGGCUUUGCUGAAGUUCUGCAGACCUUCAGUACCUGCAAGGGGAUGCUGGGCGAGAUCCUGUCUGCAUUCGAGUUCAUGGAUGCUGUGUGCAUGCAGCUGGUCAGGCGCCAUCUCCACCUGGCCAGCCCGGUGCAAGAUCUCCACAAUGGAAGUUCGAAGCUAGCAAAAGCCACGCAAACCACAGGCUGAUCUGUCUGAGCCCCGGGAUUUGGCCCCAGGUUCCGCUUCAGCCACCAGCACCGUCUGCUCCUCCUCAGAAUCCUUCCUCCCCCUCGGCCCGCCUGCCGUGUCCCUGCCUCCCCCACGACAUGCCCCUUGAGCUGCCUGGGCCCUGCUGGCGUCCCCACUGCCUGUGUGACUCUUUGCGCCCCCUUCUCUACCCUGCCCCGCCCUGGUUCAGGGAGCGUCCAGGCCCAUCCUCAUCCUCAGGGCCUUCCCUGGCCCUUGCCACUCUGUGCCGUGACAUGACCUGAAGCUUCAGGCGGGCGCCUCCCCCUUCCGUCAUCGCUGUCCCCCUCUGUGAGGUGUCCCAGCCGCCUGAUUGCCGGAGUCCCAGGGUGCUCGGUGCUGUCGUGGAGCCUGGGACAUUCACUGUCUGGGAUCGAUUCCAGGGUUGGAGCCACACCUGGUCUGGGUCAUUCGCUGUCCGGGGUUGGAGCCACACCUGGUCUGGGUCAUUCGCUGUCCUGGGUCGAUUCCGGGGUCGGAGCCUCACCUGGUGAAGAUACAGAACGUGCUGCUGCCCUAACCCCGUGUGGUGUGCCCCCUGUCCCCGGGUGUCGUUCCCAUAGCCAGCCCUUGUCUCAUCUUGUCUCAUCCUCUAGAUGCUGUGGGCCCUGAGGGAAAGGAUCACAGAGGCGCUGAGCCGGGAUGGCUACGUGUACAAGUACGACCUCUCCCUCCCCGUGGAGCGGCUCUACGACAUUGUGACUGACCUGCGCGCCCGCCUCGGCCCGCACGCCAAGCACGUGGUGGGCUAUGGCCACCUUGACGGUAACCUGCACCUCAACGUGACAGCGGAGGCCUUCAGCCCGUCGCUCCUGGGUGCCCUGGAGCCCCACGUGUAUGAGUGGACGGCCGGGCAGCAGGGCAGUGUCAGCGCGGAGCACGGCGUGGGCUUCAGGAAGAGGAAUGUCCUGGGCUACAGCAAGCCACCCGAGGCCUUGCAGCUCAUGCAGCAGCUCAAGGCCCUGCUGGACCCCAAGGGCAUCCUCAACCCCUACAAGACGCUGCCCAGCCAGGCCUGACGGCCGCUCCCACUACUGCCAAGGCCCACUGGGGGUCAGCGGAUGGCUCUCGGGUGGGGGCGUUGCGGUGGCUCUGAGUGAUGAGCCGGCAGUGGGCAGGGGACCAGGCACCUGGUCGAAGGGACCAGGAGCCCGCACCAGGGAACUGCCGGACGCAGGCCCUCGGGCAGGAGCGUCUGGCAGAGUGGGGAGCGCGGCAGGCUCCCUCCUUUGCAGGGCGAGGUGGGGCCUCUGCAGCCGUCCUGGACAGGCCGGGGUGGCGGCAGCUUUGCCCACGUGGAAGCGGGCUGGGUCUCACUUGCGUGGUGGUCCCUGGCUCCACCUUGCCUGCUGCGGCCUGGGGAGCACUGGGUGGUUCUUCCACCUGUUUAAUGCUCAUUCCCUGGCAUGCGUGGGCAGCGGGGGGCGUGGGCAGGACCACAUGGGCCGUGAUCAUGGGUUGCCGAGAGGACCCGAGCGCUGUGGCUCUGCUGAAUGGAACUGGGUCCCUCAGGCCAUGGAUGCCCUCGGGAGGGGUGACUGGCUUGUGUCUGGGCCUGAGUGACAGGAAUGUGUCAUUUCCCGCAUCUUCUAGAGGGCUGCCAGCUGGGAAGACAGUUAUCAGGGCAAGCUGUGCUCUGAGUCUCGGGUUCUGCUUCUACAAAGAACGUGCGGUGCUGCGGGCGAGGGCCCCGGCGCGGACAAGGGCCGCUGCAGAGUGCGUUUCUGCUCGUCAGCCGCCCUGGGCAGCGGAUGGGCUGGGCGACACAGCUGGACGCACAUCUCCUGUCAUAAAUGUCCUGUGAGAAUCUGAAUUGGUUGCAG
RNAcentral lists this small RNA (2079 nucleotides) under Pongo abelii (Sumatran orangutan). RNAcentral's name for it is "processed transcript". The record is from RNAcentral. Lineage: Eukaryota; Metazoa; Chordata; Mammalia; Primates; Hominidae.